CUUUCUUUUCUGUUCAUCUCCUCUUCUCAGAACCCUAACUCAGCCAAGCACUGCCAUAACCUCCAUCUUCUUCUCUAUAUCCAUGGAGCGUACGGAGCUUGCUGUUGAGAACAACGAUCUGCCUCGUCCUCCGCCGGAUCUUGCUGUUGAAGAGUACUACGAUCUGGGAUUCUCUGAGGUUACUUUCGAUAUAAACUAGAAGCUGGAUAAGCUUGUCUCGAUUGUGGUAGGCAGGAAUUCGCUUUCCCCUCCUUCGCAGGAGCCACCAACUGACUAUGAAAUUGGCAAUAUGGAGCUGCUCGAGAUUCUUUGGAAGGCGAGUGGGAAGCUUGACGGACUGUUAU
Non-coding RNA from Prunus avium (sweet cherry), 344 nucleotides. The record is from RefSeq and is a predicted model, not a curated record. Lineage: Eukaryota; Viridiplantae; Streptophyta; Magnoliopsida; Rosales; Rosaceae.